This 508-nucleotide ribosomal RNA is filed under the name uncultured bacterium. Its description in RNAcentral is "partial 16S ribosomal RNA". It matches the Rfam family "Bacterial small subunit ribosomal RNA", at positions 28 to 507 of the family's 1533-position model. The record is from RNAcentral.
GACGAACGCUGGCGGCGUGCCUAAUACAUGCAAGUCGAACGCUUCUUUCCUCCCGAGUGCUUGCACUCAAUUGGAAAGAGGAGUGGCGGACGGGUGAGUAACACGUGGGUAACCUACCCAUCAGAGGGGGAUAACACUUGGAAACAGGUGCUAAUACCGCAUAACAGUUUAUGCCGCAUGGCAUAAGAGUGAAAGGCGCUUUCGGGUGUCGCUGAUGGAUGGACCCGCGGUGCAUUAGCUAGUUGGUGAGGUAACGGCUCACCAAGGCCACGAUUCAUAGCCGACCUGAGAGGGUGAUCGGCCACACUGGGACUGAGACACGGCCCAGACUCCUACGGGAGGCAGCAGUAGGGAAUCUUCGGCAAUGGACGAAAGUCUGACCGAGCAACGCCGCGUGAGAGAAGAAGGUGUUCGGAUCGUAAAACUCGGUUGUUAGAGAAGAACAAGGACGUUAGUAACUGAACGUCCCCUGACGGUAUCUAACCAGAAAGCCACGGCUAACUACGUG